RNAcentral lists this ribosomal RNA (149 nucleotides) under Bacillus anthracis (anthrax bacterium). Its description in RNAcentral is "partial 16S ribosomal RNA". It matches the Rfam family "Bacterial small subunit ribosomal RNA", at positions 1 to 143 of the family's 1533-position model. The record is from RNAcentral. RNAcentral also lists the same sequence under 3 other names. Lineage: Bacteria; Bacillati; Bacillota; Bacilli; Caryophanales; Bacillaceae.
UUUAUUGGAGAGUUUGAUCCUGGCUCAGGAUGAACGCUGGCGGCGUGCCUAAUACAUGCAAGUCGAGCGAAUGGAUUAAGAGCUUGCUCUUAUGAAGUUAGCGGCGGACGGGUGAGUAACACGUGGGUAACCUGCCCAUAAGACUGGGA